RNAcentral lists this ribosomal RNA (801 nucleotides) under uncultured bacterium. Its description in RNAcentral is "bacterial SSU rRNA". It matches the Rfam family "Bacterial small subunit ribosomal RNA", at positions 67 to 866 of the family's 1533-position model. The record is from RNAcentral.
GGGCAGCGCAGGUAGCAAUACUGGGCGGCGACCGGCAAACGGGUGCGGAACACGUACACAACCUUCCUACAAGUGGGGAAUAGCCCAGAGAAAUUUGGAUUAAUACCCCGUAACAUAACGAUGUGGCAUCACAUUGUUAUUAUAGCUUCGGCGCUUGUUGAUGGGUGUGCGGCUGAUUAGAUAGUUGGCGGGGUAACGGCCCACCAAGUCUACGAUCAGUAGCUGAUGUGAGAGCAUGAUCAGCCACACGGGCACUGAGACACGGGCCCGACUCCUACGGGAGGCAGCAGUAAGGAAUAUUGGUCAAUGGACGCAAGUCUGAACCAGCCAUGCCGCGUGAAGGAUUAAGGUCCUCUGGAUUGUAAACUUCUUUUAUUUGGGACGAAAAAAGGGCAUUCUUGCUCACUUGACGGUACCAGAUGAAUAAGCACCGGCUAACUCCGUGCCAGCAGCCGCGGUAAUACGGAGGGUGCAAGCGUUAUCCGGAUUCACUGGGUUUAAAGGGUGCGUAGGCGGGCAGUUAAGUCAGUGGUGAAAUCCUAGAGCUUAACUCUAGAACUGCCAUUGAUACUAUCUGUCUUGAAUAUUGUGGAGGUAAGCGGAAUAUGUCAUGUAGCGGUGAAAUGCUUAGAUAUGACAUAGAACACCUAUUGCGAAGGCAGCUUACUACGCAUAUAUUGACGCUGAGGCACGAAAGCGUGGGGAUCAAACAGGAUUAGAUACCCUGGUAGUCCACGCCCUAAACGAUGAUUACUCGACAUUUGUGAUACACUAUAAGUGUCUGAGCGAAAGCAUUAAGUA